RNAcentral lists this ribosomal RNA (305 nucleotides) under uncultured bacterium. RNAcentral describes it as "partial 16S ribosomal RNA". It matches the Rfam family "Bacterial small subunit ribosomal RNA", at positions 508 to 807 of the family's 1533-position model. The record is from RNAcentral.
ACAGCAGUAGCCGCGGGAAUACGGAGGAUCCAAGCGUUAUCCGGAAUCAUUGGGUUUAAAGGGUCCGUAGGCGGUCUUGUAAGUCAGUGGUGAAAGCCCAUCGCUCAACGGUGGAACGGUCAUUGAUACUGCAGGACUUGAAUUAUUGGGAAGUAACUAGAAUAUGUAGUGUAGCGGUGAAAUGCUUAGAGAUUACAUGGAAUACCAAUUGCGAAGGCAGGUUACUACCAAUUGAUUGACGCUGAUGGACGAAAGCGUGGGUAGCGAACAGGAUUAGAUACCCCGGUAGUCCCUGUCUCUUAUAC